AACCAUACCCGACCACACUGUAUACUAGCUAGCUCGCAAACAGAGAGAGCCAACAGUCAGGUUGCAAGAUGGCUAACGUUAAGCUUCAGUCGUUUAACGUCUUUCUGACGGAAAGAUUAACAGCAGCUGCGGUAGACAUCUAUGGAUUCGUAGAGAAAACAAUAAUAGACUACCAGGAGUAGGUGUACCAAACGAAACUGGAGAACCAGAGGUUGCAGCGGCUGCUGGAUUUGGUCUACAAACCAGAGAUAAGACUGCACAGGGCAGAUUCAAGGCAGAUCGAUUUGCCCACAACGACACAGGAGGUUUGUGCUCAGGAGCAGCAGAUACACAAGGAAUGUAUUCCCAGUGAGGCCAACAAGGAGCCAGUCAUCCGGCCCAUUAAAGAGGAACUGACAGAACUCUAGACCAGGUCUGUGGAGACACAUGAAUGUCCACCAUAGAGCAGCGUUACAGACACGAAUAUCCGGCAUACAUCAGUGUUACAGACUCACUACGUCAGAUUGUCGCCUUUGGGGAGUAUGAAGAAAAUGAGAUCCCAGACAUCCUAACUUGAGUUAUAACAGUUGAAGAGCACAUGGAACAUGAGAUACCAUUACAAGAUGACCUACCAUUACCAUCGUUUGGAGUAUCUUCAGUAUACACAAAGAAAAAAAAACAUGUUUUUUUGUAAUAUUUGCUGUCAGCCUUUUCUGAGAAAAGUCAAAUUAAAAUUGCACCUCGCAACUCAUGCAAGUUUAUCAAAGCCGACUAAAUCAGUGUACACCUGCUUCGUCUUUCAUAGACACCAGGAGUCAAAUGAUUAGCCACAUGAGAGCACACUCUGACGAGAAACCAUUUUCCAGUCGCAUUUGGGGUAACAAACUGAAAGUUCAUAUUCAAGAACAUAUGAGGAGUCACACAAGAGAAAGGCCUUACGUCUGUGGGAAAAGCUUCAACAGAUCUUCAACCAUGACUAAACACGCCGAGAUCAAACACAGGGAGAACAUGCCGUUUAAGUGCAGCCAGCACUUUCCUCUUCUCUUGAUGUUACAAUCAGCACAUAAAUACGGUCAAUGAUGUCACCUUCUCUGUAUGAAAUUCUGUUGUAACAAUGCUGAUGCUGACUUCCGUUUAAAGUUGAGAAGAUAUGCCGAGUCUGAUGGCUUUGUCUGAUGAUGAGGGCUUCUUUAUAGGUUUAUCUUUUAUGCUUGUAUGUUUUCUUGACAUUGGAGCUGCCAUGCUUUCCCAAAUUAGCUCUUAUUAUCCACUCCACUCACACAACUUAUACUCAUAUAUGUCUUUUCAGAUGCUCCUGACCAUAGAUAUGAAAGUUUUAUAUAAAUGCUCCUGAUGAGUAGACCUAAACGGAAUCAGCGGAUUGUCAUUUCUGUUUUCAGCGGAGAUGCAGAAGGAAAAUCUGCAGAGUUUAGCUGACUUUUGAUUUCUGCCUGGGGUAGAGAUGUUUACAUUUCUGAGUUUAAUUAUUUAUUUAUAUUUUUCUUUAAAAUCUGCGGAAACUUCUACGGCCUCAGAUUCCACGUGGCUCUGCUGAUGAGUUGCUGUAAUUGUAAUCAUGAACAUGUAACAUGCUCACUAGAAAUAUACCGAAACACUCGGUGUACCAAGCAAAUAGUGAAGUAACUGGAUUGUACAAGUGUUUAAAGCUACCUGCAAAUCUCAAGGGCAUUUACUGUUACAGAAAAUUGUUUUAAGAAGACAUUUAUUAAUAGCUUUGUUUUUGGCGGUUGCACUCCUUUAAAUUCUGCCUUAAAUCAUAUGUGACCUUGUUCUUAUUGUCUAAUAUGUUGUCUGUUUUGUACGAUUUUGAAAAGUGUGAUGCCAAUAAAGUUACAGAACAGUACAUGUAA
Long non-coding RNA from Etheostoma spectabile (orangethroat darter), 1850 nucleotides. RefSeq lists it as uncharacterized. The record is from RefSeq and is a predicted model, not a curated record. NCBI's taxonomy places the organism in Eukaryota, Metazoa, Chordata, Actinopteri, Perciformes, Percidae. The transcript is spliced from 2 exons.